CAGUUCAGAGUAGACUACCAGCAAAUCAAGCAGCUUCCUCGAGGCGAGGCCGUCUACUCCGACGUCAUCUCCGCCGGGGGACACCUUUGGAGGAUUGAGUGCUUCCCGCAUGGGGAGAGCGAGGACGACAAGGGCGAGCAUGUUUCUAUCUUCCUCGUCCAUUUGAGCAAAUCCAGAUGCGUCAGGGCCAUCUUGGAGGUCUUCAUACUGGGUAGGGAUGGCAAACCAUCUAUGUCGGGCAUACAAAGGACAUUUGAAACCUUUGGGAUUAUGGGAGAUGAAGGCCCCGCCGAUUCUUGGGGGUGGGAUCAGUUCAUCAAGGGAACUAUUUUGGAGGAAGACUACUUAAUAGGGAGAUACGUCACAUUUCUAUGUGCCAUCAUGGUCAUCGAUGACAGUCCUAUUCCCCUGCCGCCUUCGGACAUUGGAACUCAUCUUGGCUGCCUGCUAGAUAACAAUGACGGGACAGAUGUGUUAUUCAUCGUCAGUGAUGAGACAUUCCAUCCUCAUCGGGCGGUGCUUGCUGCCCGCUCACCGGUCUUUAGAGCAGAGCUCUUCGGUUCCAUGUCUGAGGCUACAAUGUCAUCCAUCACGCUGCACGACAUCACACCUGCAACAUUCAAAGUUAUGCUUCGGUUCAUUUACACGGAUGAAUUGCCUGGAGAAGACAGGCUUGAGGACUCCUCUGCUGAGAUGUUUCAGGAUCUACUCGCUGCGGCCGAUCGGUAUGCAUUGGAUUGACUGAAGGUUAUUUGUGCCCAGAAGUUAUGGGAGAAAGUGUCUGUAGAUACAGUUGCAACUAUCUUAGGUUGGGCUGAAACCUACAACUGUCAGGAGUUGAAGAACAAGUGCAUUGACUUCUUUGUGGUGGAGGAAAAUUUCAAGGAGGCCAUGUUCACCGAUGGUUAUGCGCUACUGGUGCUGAAAUUCCCAUCGAUUACUGUGGAGCUCAAAAGGAGGGUUAGGGCAUAA
RNAcentral lists this ribosomal RNA (972 nucleotides) under Triticum aestivum (bread wheat). RNAcentral's name for it is "partial small subunit ribosomal RNA". Lineage: Eukaryota; Viridiplantae; Streptophyta; Magnoliopsida; Poales; Poaceae. The record is from RNAcentral.